UCACUUCUCUCGAUAAUCCUAAAACAUAGCGUUAGAUCUGUUUUUCCAGUCAUGACAAUCUCACCUACGAAUGGUCCAAGGCCCGAAUGCAAUCAUCCCCAAAACGAUUCAUCAAUCUUCUUCAUCUGAUUUCACCCACGCAUCCUCUCUAGAUUACGAUCGCUGUGUGAUUCGUUACUCACAGCACGAAGCAUAAGGUGACAGAAAGGUAUAUCCGCCAUCGUUCCUUCAUCACACACACACUGUAAAUCACAUGAAUAAGAAACCAUGUUUAUGACAUAUCUACCACUGAUUAUGUGUAAUUUCAUGAAAUUACAUUUGCAUAACGAGAUUUAUCUCAAUUGGAGGCAGCGAGUUCACGAAUAACCGAGAUGAACGUAAUCGCAAGUGUUUCAGAAGGAAAGCUUAGUUAUGUUUGAAGUUCGAUCCCAAACCGUGGUACUUUGCAAAUUAAAAUCGAUACGUUGUACUUUGAUAACCAUAACUGCAGAUCUUGUGCAUAACGAGACGUGUUUUUGUCAUAUCUAAUUUAAAUUAGUCGUAAUUUCAUGGAAUUACUUGAGCAAAAACAAGGUUAUAUCUCAAUUUGAGGUACGUAGUUCAGGAAUACGUGAGUUGAAUGUGAUCGGAAAUCUCACAAGUGUUUCAGAAGGAAAUAUUGAGUACCUAAGUUCUAUGGAUACUUAGUAAUUAGCAACUUCGAUGUUGAUAACGUUGUACCUAUAAGCUAUAACCUUUUUGAGAUAAAAACGGAGAGAAUGUAUCUCUAGUAAACUGAACUUUGUUCUCACGGUUGAUGAAUGCAAAGAUGAAAAGAAGAGAAUGGAUAUUGAAUUUUGUUACACAAUAUUACAUAUGAUAGGAUAGUACACGAUGGUACUAAUGAUCACAUAGAAUGAUGCUGCUUUCCCACUAUUCCUGAAUAGCCAAAUUUUUCAUAACAGAUAUCUAUUAUGAAAGCUGAGAUCUUAGCUGUGUGUCCAGGUCAUCAUCCUCUCUGUCAAUGAGUGAUGACACAUCAAUUCCAUUCAUUUUAACAUGCCCCUUGAAGAUAUGAUGUGGUGAAUGAAUAGCAUCAAGCUUUCUUGGAAUUGAGCAAUUUGUCAAUGGCUUUGUAAGGAUGUCUGUUCUGAUUUUCUCUUUAUUAAACAUUUCUGGAAGCAACUUUUCUUCCAAUUAUCUGAGCUUCAUGUUUGUUUUACAUUGGACGAUUACAGGUGCAUGGAGCUUCCAAAUUACAUAGCUGUAUUUCUUCAGGUACAAAUUUCACCCUUAAUUACAACUUGGAAAAGAAAACCUUUUUUAUUAUGAUGAUGAUUAUUAGUAAUGUUUUGAACUUAACAUGCCUUAUAAAUUACUGUUCAAUUUGUAAUGCAAGUAUAGAAAUUGCAUAAUAAACUUGUUUUGCUCUUAUUCUCUCGUUUGGAAAUGAACCAGUAGAUGGAGAAGUUGCAGACAGAUAAUACCAAUUAACAAUGUUAUGAUAGUUUCAUAAAUAUAAACCUGUAUACAUAAUUGUAAUAACUAAUAUUUAAAUUUUACAAAUAAUCAUGCCAAAUAACCCUAUACUUAUAAAGAAUGACAAUUCACCCCUCCCCAGGGGACUUAUUCCAUCCAGAUCGUUACCAAAUCCACCUUCGUAUUAGUCGUACAUAGUCUAAAAACGGUUUAUCUGGCACUGGUAUCAACUUCACAAACCAACCAAUAGGCCAUGACAACGCUGCAAUCGCUAUACAAAUCCCCCACUGCCCCCAAUUCAGUUUCUCAGUAUCUGCAAAAUUCUUUAAAAACUCCACCAUCACAAUCUGAAGAGCAACAGUCACCACAAUAAUCCCCAUAAACAAUCUGUUCUUAUGAAGCCCUUGAAACACAUUCCUCUUCUCCAGCUUCCUCGAGUUGAAUUCAUUAAACACUUGACAGAACACAAAAGUAUUGAAGAUAAUCGUAUUCUUCACUCUCUCAUCAACAUUAAAGAUCGAUUUACCUUUAAACUGAAACGUCAAAAGAACCGUUAUCUGAUACAUAGCUUGUGCCAAUAAGUUCCUCCACAUCACAUUUGUUAUAAGCGGGGCGACCCGACCCACGGGCGGGUUAUGCAUCAGUUCUUUAGUGGGUCGCUCCGUGGCAAGUGCUAGUGCACCUAAAGUAUCCAUAAUCAGAUUGACCCAUAAUAGUUGGACUGCUGUUAACGGGACAUCACCAGCUGAUACAGCUGCAACGAAGUUUAUAACAAGAGCUGCAACAUUCACAGUGAGUUGAAAUUGAAUAAACUUUUGUAUGUUGUUGUACACACACCGACCCCACCUUAAAACAACUGCAACAGAAGCGAAAUCGUCAUCCAAAAUUACAAUAUCUGAACUUUCUUUAGCCACUUCGGUUCCUUGAAUCCCCAUUGAAAGCCCGAUAUCGGCUUCUUUUAGAGCCGGUGCAUCGUUUGUUCCAUCACCCGUGACUGCAACCACGUGGCCUUUCUUUUUAAGACACUUCACCAUUAGAAGCUUGUCAAAAGGAGAGGAUCUUGCCAUUACUUUUAUAUUAUCGACUUUUUCCAUUCUUUCAUCGUCUGUGUAGUUUCGGAACUCCUCGCCUUCUAUCACUUCACCUUUGUUGACCGUUUGACCUCCUUUCAGAAUCCCACAUUCUGUAGCUAUGGCUUUUGCUGUGAACACAUUGUCACCUGUUAUCAUUUUGAUCUCCACCCCAGCAGAUCUGCACGCGUCUAUGGCUUCUUUUGCCCCCGGUCUACACGGGUCCUUAAUCCCGACAAUUCCUAACAAUGUCAAUUGUUCUUCGUUUAGUGUUUUGUAAUUCGUACCUUUUGGAAUCUGUUUAUGAGCAAAGGCGAUGCAUCUCAGGCUGCUUGCUGCCAUUCCUUGGAUUAUGUUCUCGAGGCGUGUCUUUUCUUCAUGAUUUAUAGGCUUUAGAACACCGGUUUUCUGAUAAUAAUUUGAACACAUUGCUAGUAUGAUUUCAGCAGCUCCUUUCCAGUGAACAUGUACAGUGUCAUCUUCUUUCUUCAUAACCGAAAUCCCACUCCGUUUCUUCUCGGAAUUAAACGUCUCGACAUGCAAAACGGUACAAUCCCGUUUCAGUUUCUCCAUAUCCAUACCCAAAUUCGUUACCGCCCAUGAUAAAAUUGCCUUUUCCGUUGGACUGCCGGAAUACUCGAUUCCGGUUCCGGAGUUGUAAACGGUACCGGUUGUAUUUAAACCGACUCCUUGAUGGUACAGUCUGAUGACUUGCGUAUCUAUUGUAUCGGAAUUAGAGGAGUUGUCUUCAAUGAGAUCGAGACCGAGCCAGAAUUUUGUAACUUUCAUUUUGUUCAUGGUUAAAGUCCCGGUUUUAUCCGUGCAUAUAACAGUGGCGGAACCCAUGGUUUCACAGGCGGACAACUUUCUAACCAUGGCUUGAUCCGCCAUCAUUCGUUUCAUGGAGUAAGCGAGUGUGAGUGUAACAGCUAGCGGUAAUCCUUCCGGGAUCGCCACCACGACAAUCGUCACCGCCGCUGCGAAAAUACGUGUAACGGAAUUGAGUAUAUCGUUCGUAUCUGUACGUUUCCCGUUGUAUUCCCGAUUCCCGUGUUCGUCUUCUGUGUUUCCGGUGAAAUACCGGAUUAACAUGACCACAAGAACAAGGAAAGCAACCGCAAGACCAACUUUCCCGAUUGAAGACGUGAGUUUAUUAAGACGAGCUUGUAGCGGCGUUUGUUCGUCGGAAUCACCGGUUACGGAGCUCAUCAUCUUUCCCCAAGCGGUGUUCAUUCCGACUGAUACCACAAGCAUUCGGCCAUGCCCGUCUGCCACUUUUGAACCGGAAAUCAAAAACGGAUUCCGGAUGGAAUCAAUGUCUAUAUGAUCACUUUCUCCGGUCAUGCUCGACUCAUCCACAAGCAAAGAGUAACCAUCGAUGAACAAUCCGUCAGCCGGAAUCUGAUCUCCGAUGUUAAGAAUCACAACAUCUCCAACCACCACAUCGAAAAUCAAUAUCUUUUGUCGCCUUCCAUCUCGUAUUGCAUCGAUUUUUAUAUUAUUACUUAUUUUUGACAACUUGUCAAACUGUCUUUCUUGCCGGAAGUUACUCACCGCUGAAACAGCAAUAACUAGAAAAACUGCCACGAAGAUGCUCCCACCUUCGUACCACCCUUCUUUCGCCCCUUCUUCUUUGAUUCCAAAUCCAAGCGAAAGUGCUGCACAUGCGAGUAAUAUCAGAAUCGUGGGGUCCUUAAAAGCCUCCACCACAAAGUAAACAAACCCUUUCGGGGGUGGUUUAUUGUAAGUAUUGGAACCGAAUGCGUUUUUUCGUGUUUCCAUCUCGGAAUCACUGAUUCCAUGCUCGAGAUUGGUUCGUAGAGAUUCAGCCAAGCCCGUGACACCGUUUAAAUUUCCAAGGAUCUCCAAGUCUUUGGAUUUGACCAAAUCGGUGAGGUCUGUUUGGUCAAUGCUUGCGAAUUGGUCGAUAGAUUUUGGGAUGCUGAUUUUAAGAGCAGUAUAUGAAGGUGUUGCGACUAUACUGGGAAUAGGGUAGCGGGGAAGUUUGGCGAUGGAUAGCAUAGUGUUUGAGAAGUAAAUGGAAAAGUAAGCUCGACGCCAUCUUUUUUGGGCUAUAGUAAGUGUAAUUGUGCUUAUGUUAUAUAGCAUCCCUCCAAUGUCACAUUGGGAUUCAAUUUCGGAAACCAUUUUUUGGAAGUUUUCGUAUGCAAGGCAAAAGGAUGCUCAGUUGAGGAUGAUUAGAUGAGAUGGAAGAAUUUCAAUCUUAGUACUUGCGUCUCUUAUAAUACAUAUAUGCUUUACGAAAGUUCAAGGAAACUGCAUAAGAACCCAUUUGUUGAAAACAGUCUCAUUCUGAUAUUUUUACUUAUUUAUACAUUAUACAUUGGUUUUCAUUAAAAUAAUUGUUUCUAUCAUCUCUGUGUUUUCUUGGUUAUUAAAUGGCAUCCAUAAAUAAAAUAAAAAAGAACACCUGGUUACCUAAAAGGACAAGUUAACAAUUUUUACGUGUUAAAUGCGUGGUUUUUUUUUUUUUUCAUAAAUAAAUAUUACCUGAUUGUUUAAGGAAAAAAAGAAUGAUUUAUUUGUCGGCCAUGCCCAUAGACAGUUCGGCACGAUUUAUGAUUGUGUUAACUCCGUCAAAACAACCGCCUUCCCAUUGGAUUAAUGCUGCCGUUUUCGGACUUGCGAUGUUGGUUUCUGCUGUAUUUAUGAAGUUCUUAAUUAAAAUUAAUAUAAUGUAUGUUAUAAUUUUUUAGAAAUUAAGUUAAUAUGCUAAACAACAAAAAUGUAAAAUAACUAGAAGUAGAAAUAGAGGUGCAUAAAAUAAUGGAUUUUAAACGAUCCGGAUAAAACCGGCAAUAGGGCAAUCGGAUGAUCCGUACUCUGUCCGGAUUUUUGUUUUGAAAUUGGAAGUUUGGAACUCGAAGGAUUUUGGAUUAAAAAAAGAACAAAUUAUUAAAAUCAUCCCUGUUGUUUAUAAAAGUUUUAUGUUUGGUCCCUAACUUUUUUUUUUUUUUUUUUACUUGGAUAGUCCCUAUAGUUUGUUUUUAUUGUGCUUUUUUAUCCCUGAUCAAACAUGGAAAGACUUUUUUGCCUUUUAUAUUUUUUUAGUCUUUGUUUCUUAUUUAUAAUUUAAAAAAGUAAAUUUAAUAUUUAAUAGAUAUGUGGGGUCCAAUCUCACAUUCACUCCCAUUCCCACCACCAGCCAUUGAAAACAACCGGUGACCACCAUAUUCCACUGGCGGCCACCAACGACCUUCGAAAACAACUAGAACCCGCUGACGACUUUUGGAAACCUGAAAUGAUAUUCGAAAUAAUCAAAUCCACCACCACUCGUACCCUCUUUCACCCGUCUUUCGCCUCCGGCAGCCUCCACCAUUCACUGUCGACACUUCCUUGUCACCUCUUCUAACCACAACCACUUACCACCAACAUCAAAUUCAAACAAAACUGAAACAAAAAUCAAAACUGAAAGCAACAAAUUCAAAAACUCAAAAGAAAACACACACAAUUUAAGUUUGCUUGAAUCAAGCACCAAAAUUAAGGACAUUAAGGUUUAUUUAAGAAUUUCCAUCUAUGAAUAACAUUUAAGUUGCAAAAUUACGUUUUUUCCCCUGAGAUUCAAUUUCCAUCAUCCUGAAACUGUAAAAUCACAUAAACAACAUGUUCAUGAAUAGAAAUUUUCGUUCAUGAAUAGAAAUUUUCGUUUUUUAAUUAUGGGAUUCCAAGUCCCUAUGUAUAUAAAAACAAUUCAGAUUUGGAGAGACCGAGAGGGAGGAGUAGAAAGCAAUGAGGAGGUAGAUCAGCCGAUAGGAGAUAGGGAGAAGGAUCCGAAGACCUUGUCUGAACAUCUUGUUUGUACAUCUCUUCGGUGAUGAAGAUCUCAUCUGAUUCGCCGUCACCGAAGACCACCACCGUCGUAAACUCGUCGUUGUGGUCGGUUAUCUGAGAGAGAUGCCUGAGUGGGAAGUCGGGUGAGAAGGUAACUGGUGGUAGACAGACGUCGCUGAUGGUGGGUUAUUAUGAUGCUUUUUAUGUGGAAUGAAGGAGAGAUUUUGAUAAGGGGCCGUUAUAGGAGAUGAUGGGUGCGAGUGGAGUCCAAUCUUUAUUAAACAUUUUUUUAUUUUAUUGAAUAAAUGAAAAAAAUAAGUACGGGUAUUAUAGUAUUUUCACAUAUGUUAGAGGCGAAAUUCGCAAUAAAAUCAAACUAUAAGGACAGCCUAAUGCAAAAAAAAAUAUAUGAGAGACCAAACAUGAAAUUAUAACAAACCACAUGGACCAUUUCAAUAAUUUCUAAAAAAAAAAUCAACUUUUUGUUUCUCACACAACAAAAUGCGUUUUCACGUUUUGGCAUGAUAACUCAUCAUCUACACAUGUUGUAUUUAAAUGCGUACAACAUUUCUAGUUAGCCGACUCCUCGUGUUCUUAUUUGUCCACGUGUUAUGUCCAUAUCCGUUUUGCUUAAAUCUUGAUUACAACAACAAUAUUUUAUUGGUUAACUAGGCGAAUGUCCUCGCGUUGCGUAGAAAUACCUAUAUAAUUGAAAUAUUUAUAAAUAUAUGUUUUCUUAAAUAUAACAAUAACGUUGUUAAAUUUGAUAUAAUAAUUCGUAUAUGGAAUUGAUAUAAUAUAUUAAUUAUUUUGAAUUAUAUUAUAAUAUAUACAUCUAUUAAAACUACAUAAUGUCAAUCGUUUGAAUGACCCAUACCCCCGCGGGUUACUCAUAAAUGAAAAUAAAAAAUAAUAUAUGGUUUAAUGUUAUUUGUUUUUGUUAAUUAAUUUUUUAAAAUUUAUUUGUUUAACAUUUUAAUUUCUAUCAUUGUAAUUAUUUAAAACAUCAAAAAUUAUUUUUGGUUUUUAAAGGUAACAAUAUAAGCAUUUAUAUAAAGUUAGUUUUAACUAUUGUUAUUUUAAGUUAUUUAAGCUAUUUAUUUGAAAAUUUAAAUGAUUAUAAAAAUAUCUUUAGGAAAUAUUUUAGUUAAAUUAAGAUUACAAUUUAGUUUUUUCAUUUAACACAACAAUUUAUCAUUUUUAACUAUUCAUAAAAUAUUAUUUGAGUUUUUUAAGUGAAACUAAAAUUUAUAUUUAAGUUGACCAUGUAAUGUUAUAUUUAAAUUAACAAUUUAAGUAUUUUAUCAAAACUAUUCAAAAGUGUAGCUUUAAACUGAUAAUGAGUUACAUAUAACAACAUAUUAAAUCUAAUAAAUUAAGUAUAAUAUGUUAAAAAUUAAAGACAUAAUUUUAUUAGUAGAAGUAAAGAUAUUAAUUUAAUAUUAAAAUUUAUUUUAUUUAUGAUUACACUUUAUGUUUGAUAUUUAUUUAACUUUAUUAACCAACUUAUAAUCAUGAUUAGAAAAACACUAUAAUUGUCACUUUUAACUAUUUACAAAAUAUUCUUUGCGUUGUUUAAGUUGAACUAAAAUUUAUAUUUCAGUUAACCAUGUAAUGUUAUAUUUAAAUUAACAAUUUAAGUAUUUUAUCCAAACUGUUCAAAAGUUGUAGCUUUAAAAUGCUAAUGGUUUACAUAUAAUAACAUUUUAAAAUUAAUAAAUAAAAUAUAAUACGUUAAAAGUUAAAGACAUAACUUUAUAAAUAAAAAUAAAUUAACAAUUUAAGUGUUUUAUCCAAACUAUUCAAAAGUUGUAGCUUUAAACUGAUAAUGGUUUGCAUAUAACAACAUAUUAAAUCUAAUAAAUUAAGUAUAAUAUGUUAAAAAUAAAAGACAUAACUUUAUAAGUAGAAGUAAAGAUAUUAUUUUAAUACUCAAAUUUAUUUUAUUUAUUAUUACACUUAAGGUUUGAUAUUUAUUUAACUUUUUUAACCAACUUAUAAUCAUUAUUAGAAAUGCACUACAAUUUGUCACUUUUAACUAUUUAUAAAAUUUUCUUUGCGUUGUUUAAGUUGAACUAAAAUUUAUAUUAAGUUAACCAUGUAAUGUUAUAUUUAAAUUAACAAUUUAAGUAUUUUAUCCAAACUGUUCAAAAGUUAUAGCUUUAAAAUGAUAAUGGGUUACAUACAACAAUAUUUUAAAAUUAAUAAAUAAAAUAUAAUACGUUAAAAGUUAAAGACUUAACUUUAUAAAUAAAAGUAAAGAUAUUAUAAGAAAUUGAAAAGUCAUGAGAGUUUUAAAUGAAUGUGGUGUCUUGGGAGUUUCAAAUGCAUGAGGUUCAAGGAAAAAUGCUAGCUUUAUAAGAUAGAUAGAUAGAUAGAUAGAUAUAAUUAUUUAUGUUAGUUGCAUUGAAACCCAUCUUAAUAUUACAACUAUCUAACUUCUAUUUAGAUUAUUAUGAAAUCUCCAGAAAAGUCUUAAAAUUUUGAGUCAUCUAGUCCUAAAUUAAAUUUCAUUAAUGAAAAACGACAGGAAACCGACUAUUAUAAUCAUUUUUUCCCUUUUUACCUUUUCAGCAAGUUACUGCUGAUGUGGAGUGCCAACUGUAUUGCUGAGCUGAGGUGGCAUCCAAUUCCUUUACAAAGUAAAAAACCAAAUUAAACCUAGUAUCCUUCCUUUAUCUUCUCUAACUCACUUAAAACCCUAAUUUAUAAUUGAACCAACAAAAUAAGGAGUUAAAACCGAAGGAUUUAGGUAAGGUGAAGCAAAUGGAAAUUGGAACUCACGGUGGUUGUAAAGCGAUUAAGCUUAGGAAAAUGUUCACCAAACAAGUUUUUGACCACCCACAAGAACCAUCGAGCUUUAUUAUCUUCUCAAUAGACCAUCAUGCUUCAUCUUCUUCGAUUUAAAUGAGUUACGAAAAAAUUUCUGUACUUCAUUCUUCUCUCCCUUAAACAACGUCACUAUGCUAAUGUUUCCGAUCUUGAUCUCCCCCACAAUAGCGACAAUAACAUAUCACCAUUCCAUUUUUCGGGUUGGGAAUCUUGAGAUUGUUUUGAUUUGAGUGAUGGAGGAAAGAAAAGGAGAAAGCAGAAAAUCCAUUAGGGUUUAUCGUGAAGUAGAAUAGAUUACCUGAUGUGAAUAGAAUUUUAAGCAGAAGAAGUCUUAAGGUCGUGUUUUGGUGAAUUAAUAUGGAGGAAGAAGUUGUAGGUUCGUCUUUACAUAUGGAGGAAGAUGAAGGUCAUAAGGAUUAAUAAAUAAAUAUGAAGAAAACAAAAUAAUAACUACUUCUAGUUCACUUGGUAAGUUGUCCGGUUUGUGAGUGGGAGGUUAAGGGUUCGAGUCCACCUUCCCUUUUUUCCUAAAAAAAUUUGGUUUUUUACUUUGUAAAGGAAUGGAAUGCCACCUCAGACGCCAUGUCAGCUCAGCAAUACAGUUGGCACUCCACAUCAGCAAUAACCUGCUGCUGAAAAGGUAAAAAAGGGUAAAAGUGAUCACAAUAGCCAGUUUCCUGUCAUUUUUAUUAAUGAAAUUUAAUUUAGGAUUAGAUCAUAAACUGGUCCAAAAUUUUAGGACUUUUCUGGAGAUUUCCCUAGAUUAUUUAUCAUUAAAUCAAUACAACUCAAUAAAUUUUAAAUAGAUAAUUAAUUUAUAUUUAUGAUAUUUAAUUGAAUAAUAUUAGAAAUAUUUAAACUGAGUUAGGUAAGCUAUUUCCUUUGUAACGUAUUAGCUUCAUUUUCGGUUUGUCAUAUGUUAGUUUAGAAUGUAUAUGUUCAGUAGAUAGUUUGAAUAAAAGUCACUACUAGAAACCUGACCUACAUCGACGAAACAAUUCGUUUCUAUUCCGUCGCUAAUGGAUGUUUGCGAUGGAUCAACAACAAACCUCCUCCAUAGCCAAUUAAAAUGUGGCUAUUGAUUUAGCUAAUGAUUUAGCGACAAAUCAGUUUUUCCUUGUGACGUACUUAGCGACGGAUAAUCCAUCACAAAUUUUGUCACUUAUUUCAGUUUUGUAUGUCAUUGGUGGCAAACUUAAUAACAUUAUUGUGUCGUUGAUCCAUCGCAAAUAUCCAUAUUGUUUUUUAUAGUCCCUCGCAGAUUCCUCCCAAAUUUUAAGGUACCAUAUUUUUUUUCAUUCCUUCGUUGCAAAUAUAUAAUAUCAUUUUUUAUUACAAACUAAAACAAAAUACCAAAAAAAAACAAAUAAUUAAAUCCCAAAACAAGCAUUAACAUCUAAAUACCAAAAUCAUUAAUUAUUAUACAAUCCAAAUAUCAAAUUUUAACAUUGAUUGAUAUUUGAUUUCAAAGUAAAAUGUACCAAAAUUCUCAAUUUCCUCUCAUAUUUUGCAUUGCUCAAUACAUAUUCUCCAUUGUUUCAUAUCUUGCAUCGAUUUGUUGUUGUUUGACCUCCAUUUAUGCAACUUUAGCAAACAUCUCCCCACACAUUGAUUUGUUGUUUAUACACAACAACAAAUAUACAUAGUGUAAGUUAAAUAGAACAUCAAACAAAUUUAUUUGUGUUCAUGUAAGUUAAAUAAUAUAUGCUAUAAACCUAUUUAUCAAGUAAAAUCAACCGAAAAGUAGACUUAAAAUUCUUUUGUGACUAACCAUGUUCAUUCAAGUAAUCAAUGAAUAACCGUGUAGAAAUAUCAGUAAGAACAUUUGCUUAUGGACUAGAAAAUCCAUCUUAACAAAUGCUUUUCAUCAAUUCCUAUAAUUUAUUUACACAUGUGAUAUAAGACUUUAAAUAAUUCUGAUUACACAGUCAAACAAAUGUAAAGAAAAGUCAAAGUAAUACCUGAAUGGUGGAACAAGUGAUUUUUUCAACACAAAAUGCAGUUCCACAACAUGGCUCUGUCAGCUCAGUAUGUCCAUCAAAGUUUGUUGACUCCCAAAAGAUUUUGGAAACAGAAGGGCAUAAUUGGGAAAUCAAAUAAAUUAAGGAAGUUUUAACAAAUUCAUUGAUAGAUGAUGUGCUACAUGACAUUAUUUUGUGUGAGCUCAUUUCGUACGGGCUUCAAUAGCAAAAGUGGAAGGUAAAGAUGAUAUUUUGUAGGGUGAACUGCAAUGUUGUUCAUAAUGACUAUUUGACUAAGUAAAAAACAGAAUCAUUUCAUAUACUCCCUCCGUCCCAAAUUAAUUGUCCACUUUUGACUUUUUAAGUCUUUUUUCUUCAACUUUGACCUUAAAUAUUUUUAUUUAUGUUAUAUAUUACUUAAUAAAACUUAUAACAAUGAAAAUAAUUUUAAAAUACAAGGCAUUCAUAUCUUUUGCAUCAAAUAUUAUCUAUCGAAAACAAAAAUAUUUAAGGUCAAAGUUAAAGAAUAAAGACUUCAAAAGUCAAAUGUGGACAAGUAAUUUGGGAUGGAGGUAGUAUAAUUUAACUUGACACAAAAGAUUUGUUACAGUUUCUAAGAAAAAAAAUACAAUGAUACAAAUUACCUGCAUAUUUGAUGAAGUUUUCACCAUAUAAUCAAUUGGAGGAAUCUUGUCCUACUAACGUAAAGACAUCUCACAUAUCGUGUAUCAAAAUAACAUCAUUAGAAAAUUAAAAAAACAUGAACAUGAUAUGAUAAUAUUUGUUGGUGUUCUCUAGUACCUCAUCAAAGAUCCACUUGCAAACACCAAAUUGUUGCAAGAGUUAAAUUUAUUUGAAAAGGAGCCAAACUAUAUGUUCAACAUUUGUUGGUGUUUUCAUGAAACAUAGAUUAAAAACACCGACUAUGGUCAUGUAAUUCUCGGUUUGUGAUAAUGUUUUAUAGAAACAAUUUCCACAAUAACCUGGAGAAUAAAUACAACACAACAAUAUUUAUCCCAAAAUCAUAAAUCGUAACAUUCCGUUUAAAAUUUAAUAAAUAAAUAAAUAAAUAAAUAAAAUAAAUAACAACCCUAAAACCCCGAGAUGUAUCUUAUAUUUUAUUUUAUUUUAGCCCUAAAUCCGUAAUAACUUAUCAGUGUUAGCAAUAAGGAGUUAAAUGAUAUAAUUUCCAGAAUUUGGUGUCUAUAUUGUAACAUUAGGACUUGAAAUGCAAAUGAUUUUGUGAAGCAGGGCUGUUUGGUAAUUAAUGGACUUAGUUUGAAAAACAAGGGGGAUGGAGGGACUGACAGUGUUAAAAACGCUUUAAGUUUGAUGGGUGGAGGCGGGACAAAAACCCGUCACCUCGUAUCCCUAGUUCCUCGUUUAAAAGUUUAGCACCCUAAAACCCUGAUCCUAAAACUCAGCCACCACCUCCUUGAUGCCAUAGUGAACCACCGAAGCCCGGGGAGGUCGUCGCUGACGAAGACACGAGUUGAAGCCGACACCGUGACUAUGGAGUUGGUCGGAAGAGCGAAGGCCUGUGGUGGUCGUUGUUGCUGCUAUCGGUUAAGAAACGCCCCAACUCUCCUUCUUCGUCUUUUCCCGCUGCUACAUCGUCGCUGCCACUAUGAUGGCUGUGUCGUUGUUGCCAUCACUUUCGACUACCAAACGCCACCACAAGGGAGGCUGAGUUAUUUUAAAAAUUUUAUUUAUGCUUAUUUGAAAUCAGAGUAUUCAUCUUAAAGAAUAAUAUUGCGAAAUUUAUUCAUAGAAAACAUGAUAAAUAUAUUAUCAAAGCAUUUUCGAAGAAAUGUAUUUUGUUUAUAUUAAAACUUUAGGAUGUUAUCGUCAAUACAUAAACAUAAGCAUAAACAGACCUUACAUUCAUUCACACUAGUAAUUUACAUCUCAUUUAAUCUCUCAGUGUAAAAUGUCCUCGUAUCGAUACCCGUGAUACAAAUUAAUUGAGUGGGUCAUGUUGGGAAACCUGGUGAGUACAUAAGGUUUUCAACCCACAAUAAUAAAGUUAUUAUGUUUCAUCAUCAAAGAAUUAACCCAAUUACCCAUCCCCAUUAUCUUCUUUAUUCUUAAGUAUCUUCCCUAAGAAUCAUCUAUUCCUCAAUAUUUAUUCCUAAGGAACAGGCACGAAGUCCAUCGCUGCCAGAGUUUAUAUAACAGACACUAUGUCCAUAGUUGCCGAUGUUAUUUGUUAGACACUAAGUCCAUAGCUGCCAAAGUUUAUCUCUUUUAUUGACAAUAUUAUUUUAGGGACUCCACCCACAAUACAGGUCAGUGGGUUUUUAGAGUACACUGAUAAACAUAUCAUUCACAACACCUAUAGGUUGCGAGCCUGCUAGUGUUCCACUAGAUUGUUUAGAAUAGUUCGUGGUUGUCAUUUAUACUCUGCUAGAUGACUAAGCCAUCGUUUGGGUCAUCGCUUCUCAUCAUCUUUCACCUCUUAUCAUCUAUAUCAUCUUUCAUCUUUCAUCUCUCAUCAUUCAUCUCAUCUUUCAUCUUUCAUCAUUCAUCUCUCAUCUCAUCUCAUCUUUAAUUUAUCCAUCUUUACCCAUCAUAAUUAUAGGUAUAAAAUACAUAUACAGUUUAAAUCGAAUAAAACAUGUAUAUUUUGUUCAUCCAACAUAGAUAUCAAGAACACAAAUAAUGUGCACACAUAGCACGAAAUUUAUAUUAAAUACUUCAUAUCUAUGUGUAAGAUGAAAGUAACUAUGCACUCACUUGUUAAAGUGAUGAUUCCAAACUCGGGCAAUGCUUCACUUCUAACAAUUCUAUUUUCCUUCGGCAAAACCUAGUACAUUACCGCUAGAUUUUAGUCUAAUAUUUAUAGCGACUAUUUACGAACGAUAUUGUUUCAUAAGUGUUAAACAAUACUUUUCUAACAUUAAGUACAGACAGGGCAGACAUGAAACACCAGAGGGCAGGACCAUUUUGGCAUUAUAGCACUUCUGAAAUCCAACAACCCUAUACGGCCC
Molecule: long non-coding RNA, 14103 nt
Filed under: Lactuca sativa (garden lettuce)
Lineage: Eukaryota; Viridiplantae; Streptophyta; Magnoliopsida; Asterales; Asteraceae
Description: long non-coding RNA (LSAT_LNC006147)
Source: RNAcentral